Molecule: long non-coding RNA, 392 nt
Organism: Pseudopipra pipra
Lineage: Eukaryota; Metazoa; Chordata; Aves; Passeriformes; Pipridae
Exons: 3
Source: RefSeq, a predicted model, not a curated record
GAGAGGCAAUAACUUCCUCCCAGGAACUGCAGGACCUCCUGGAAGAAGACGCGCAAGACUUUGCAAGUGAGAACAGCGGAUUGGAAGGCACUGUCCAGCAGCCAAGCGAGAGCGUUGAAGCCCUUCCGAGAGCCCUGCAAGCCUCUGCCUCAGGUGGUGAACUUUCCCAGCAGCUGGACAUGGAGCCUGGAACAGGCAUGCAGCUCGAGGCCCUAAACCAGGCUUUGCAAGAAGAGCUGUCCACUCUGCUUGGGAAGUGUGAACAACUGGAGAAGAGCAAAUGUCAGCUGCAAGAAGAGGUGACAAAACUCCACCACCAUUUGGAGACUUUGGUGCUGGAUUGCAGCCAAAGAGAACAGUGUACAGGAGAGGUGGCAGAAGGAGCUGACUAG